CCAGAGAACUUAGCAGAGAUGCUUUCGGUGGCCUUCGGGAACUCUGAGACAGGUGCUGCAUGGCUGUCGUCAGCUCGUGUUGUGAAAUGUUGGGUUAAGUCCCGCAACGAGCGCAACCCUUAUCCUUUGUUGCCAGCGGCUCGGCCGGGAACUCAAAAGGAGACUGCCGGUGAUAAACCGGAGGAAGGUGGGGAUGACGUCAAGUCAUCAUGGCCCUUACGGCCAGGGCUACACACGUGCUACAAUGGCGCAUACAAAGAGAAGCGACCUCGCGAGAGCAAGCGGACCUCAUAAAGUGCGUCGUAGUCCGGAUUGGAGUCUGCAACUCGACUCCAUGAAGUCGGAAUCGCUAGUAAUCGUAGAUCAGAAUGCUACGGUGAAUACGUUCCCGGGCCUUGUACACACCGCCCGUCACACCAUGGGAGUGGGUUGCAAAAGAAGUAGGUAGCUUAACCUUCGGGAGGGCGCUUACCACUUUGUGAUUCAUGACUGGGGUGAAGUCGUAACAAGGUAAGCGUAGCGAG
This 524-nucleotide ribosomal RNA is filed under the name uncultured bacterium. Its description in RNAcentral is "bacterial SSU rRNA". It matches the Rfam family "Bacterial small subunit ribosomal RNA", at positions 988 to 1509 of the family's 1533-position model. The record is from RNAcentral.